GCCGGCGGUGUGCCUAAUACAUGCAAGUCGAACGCGUUGGCCCAAUUGAUUGAUGGUGCUUGCACCUGAUUGAUUUUGGUCGCCAACGAGUGGCGGACGGGUGAGUAACACGUAGGUAACCUGCCCAGAAGCGGGGGACAACAUUUGGAAACAGAUGCUAAUACCGCAUAACAGCGUUGUUCGCAUGAACAACGCUUAAAAGAUGGCUUCUCGCUAUCACUUCUGGAUGGACCUGCGGUGCAUUAGCUUGUUGGUGGGGUAACGGCCUACCAAGGCGAUGAUGCAUAGCCGAGUUGAGAGACUGAUCGGCCACAAUGGGACUGAGACACGGCCCAUACUCCUACGGGAGGCAGCAGUAGGGAAUCUUCCACAAUGGGCGCAAGCCUGAUGGAGCAACACCGCGUGAGUGAAGAAGGGUUUCGGCUCGUAAAGCUCUGUUGUUAAAGAAGAACACGUAUGAGAGUAACUGUUCAUACGUUGACGGUAUUUAACCAGAAAGUCACGGCUAACUACGUGCCAGCAGCCGCGGUAAUACGUAGGUGGCAAGCGUUAUCCGGAUUUAUUG
This 565-nucleotide ribosomal RNA is filed under the name Limosilactobacillus fermentum. RNAcentral describes it as "bacterial SSU rRNA". It matches the Rfam family "Bacterial small subunit ribosomal RNA", at positions 35 to 556 of the family's 1533-position model. Lineage: Bacteria; Bacillati; Bacillota; Bacilli; Lactobacillales; Lactobacillaceae. The record is from RNAcentral.